RNAcentral lists this unclassified non-coding RNA (300 nucleotides) under uncultured Mortierella. RNAcentral's name for it is "sequence contains 5.8S rRNA gene, ITS2". The stretch from base 1 to 71 matches the Rfam family "5.8S ribosomal RNA", at positions 84 to 154 of the family's 154-position model. The record is from RNAcentral. Lineage: Eukaryota; Fungi; Mortierellomycota; Mortierellomycetes; Mortierellales; Mortierellaceae.
GUGAAUCAUCGAAUCUUUGAACGCAUAUUGCGCUCUUUGGUAUUCCGAAGAGCAUGCUUGUUUGAGUAUCAGUAAACACCUCAAAGCCUUUUUUCUUUUUUGAAGAAAGGCUUUGGACUUGAGCAAUCCCAACACCAAUCUUUUAAAGAGAGGGGGCGGGUUGCUUGAAAUGCAGGUGCAGCUGGACAUUCUCCUGAGCUAAAAGCAUAUUCAUUUAGUCCCGUCAAACGGAUUAUUACUUUUGCUGCAGCUAACAUAAAGGGAGUUUGACCGUAUUGGCUGACUGAUGCAGGAUUUCAC